This 253-nucleotide ribosomal RNA is filed under the name uncultured bacterium. RNAcentral's name for it is "partial 16S ribosomal RNA". It matches the Rfam family "Bacterial small subunit ribosomal RNA", at positions 524 to 776 of the family's 1533-position model. The record is from RNAcentral.
UACGGAGGUGGCGAGCGUUGUCCGAAGUUACUGGGCGUAAAGCGCACGUAGGCGGUUCGUUAUGUCGGAUGUGAAAGCCCUUGGCUUAACCGAGGAAGUGCAUCCGAAACUGGCGAGCUAGAGUACGAAAGAGGAUCGCGGAAUUCCCGGUGUAGAGGUGAAAUUCGUAGAUAUCGGGAGGAACACCGGUGGCGAAGGCGGCGAUCUGGGUCGAUACUGACGCUGAGGUGCGAAAGCGUGGGGAGCAAACAGG